This is a long non-coding RNA of Armigeres subalbatus, 1739 nucleotides long. RefSeq lists it as uncharacterized. The transcript has 3 exons. The record is from RefSeq and is a predicted model, not a curated record. NCBI's taxonomy places the organism in Eukaryota, Metazoa, Arthropoda, Insecta, Diptera, Culicidae.
AAAAGCUUCAGCACUGAGGAGAAGCAACGGUGGAUCUCUUCCACACUUAUUAUUUGAGUGCUUUAGAAUUUUCGAUGCCAACCAAUGCAUGAUUUAGUAUACCGAGUGACAAGUAUAAUGAUGUUCUUUAAUUUUAGUGACUUUUUCACCCAACAGACUAUUAUCAAAUGCCCCUAUCGAAAAGAUAACGCUACAUGAACGAAAGGUAUCCUACAAGGCGUUCCGAUUAAGUGAGGUUAAGAAAUCACAGCAAUGACGAACCCAAGCGAAAAGAAAAAUCUUUAACUGAAGCAUUUAAUAAAAAUGGCACCUGUGGGAUAUUUGUGAAGUCGUUGCGUUCAUGUUCGUGGUUUCAUUUCCAGUUUUUGCUUCGAAUUAUUUGAGUUGGUGCUGCGUUCGAAGACGUCACUAGCUGAUGGAGGAGAAUCCCGAGUCAGAUCAUAUCGAUUGCUGGAUCCGGUGCACUACAUGUUCGGGGUUCAGCCAAACCACGACAAGCGGCUUUUUGACUGACUAUGUUCACAAGAAGAAAACGGCAAGUAUUUUAUGUCAAUUCAUGUGUACAUUUGUUGUACAAUUAGGGCGUUGAACGAUGUCCGAUGCGAUUUGUGAUUAAUGAAAUCUGUUCGAAAAAAGCUUUGGCAAAAGAAUUGAAAUUUUGCAUUGGCGCUUGGUGUGAUUUGGCAGAACCCCGACCACAUAUGUAUUUCAGAUCCCGCACCGGCAAAUGCCGUAAAAUAUCAAGACAGCGUAUGAGACAACUUUUAUUGACGGUUCAGUUCAUAUUAAAACAUUUUAAAGCUUUCUCUCGCACUCAACAUCAAACUUCUAAAACAGACCACCGCUUCCAAUGUUGAGUUUUUGGCCAAAAUGAAAGAAAAUCCAGCUUCGCUAGUCGAAAUUUUCGGAAUUAAAUAUCUUGCGAUAGAAGAAUAAAAUAUGCAUUUGUAUCAAUUGCUUGCCAUACUUUAAUUGAUUUUCAUUUAUUCCUAAAAUAGAACUAGAAAAUAUUCAGAAUAUGUAAAAAAAAGCAGUAUUUCAAACCAUUUGCAGCAUGAAUGUAUUUCAUUGAUAAAUACUAUCAAAAGUAUGUGCCAAUUUUAUGGAUCCUAUAUUAUGCUAAUAUCAAUGAGAUAGAACUGAACAUUGGAGAAAAUCCAUUACACAUACUUUUUAUUGGGCAAACUCCAUUGCAAAAAUCCAUGUGGGUCGGCACAUGAAUCUGAUGGGCUUUUUUUCUUGAGUGAACUCCUGGACAAAAGUUUGGGUUCAUCCUAAAUAAAUAUAGGAAAAAGAUUUUGACCGUAUUCUGCCGUGCCAAGCAUAGUUGUCCCAUGUCGUUUUUACGAAGCCAUUCCCACUGUGCUGGCGGUGUCACAUGUGCUCAUAUUGUCUAUCCGGAAUAAAUUUAUAACGCUUUUAAAACCGAAGUUGGAUUUUUCUCCAGAAACAGGCAACUUUCUCAACUUCGGAAGUAGUGCGCUGGAUUCGCCUAACGAUGCACUAAUCAACGCAUCAAUUAGUUUGACAAAUAAAACUUCGGAAGAAAGUUCGGUUCGGAAGUCCCGACUUCCGAAUUCGAUAGCCUCACACCUCGGGAAUUUGGUACGCGGAUUUAUUCCCCAUUUAUUUUUACAUAUGCGAUGUUCUCGGGAUUUGAACACGGAAAAUCAAAAUCCCGGCCCCCUUUAAAGGCUGCCUUAAAGGUAGCCUCACACCUUCCCCAUGCAUUUUUGCAU